This 261-nucleotide ribosomal RNA is filed under the name uncultured prokaryote. Its description in RNAcentral is "partial 16S ribosomal RNA". It matches the Rfam family "Bacterial small subunit ribosomal RNA", at positions 524 to 784 of the family's 1533-position model. The record is from RNAcentral.
UACGUAGGUGGCAAUCGUUAUCCGGAUUUACUGGGUGUAAAGGGCGCGCAGGCGGCCCCAAAAGUCAGAUGUGAAAUACCCGGGCUCAACUUGGGUGCUGCAUUUCAAACUGGAAGUCUAGAGUGCAGGAGAGGAGAAUGGAAUUCCUAGUGUAGCGGUGAAAUGCGUAGAGAUUAGGAAGAACACCAGUGGCGAAGGCGAUUCUCUGGACUGUAACUGACGCUGAGGCUCGAAAGCGUGGGGAGCAAACAGGAUUAGAUA